Long non-coding RNA from Brassica napus (rape), 5243 nucleotides. RefSeq lists it as uncharacterized. The record is from RefSeq and is a predicted model, not a curated record. NCBI's taxonomy places the organism in Eukaryota, Viridiplantae, Streptophyta, Magnoliopsida, Brassicales, Brassicaceae. The transcript has 3 exons.
UUCUAGGUUAGGAGAGAAAGGAGGAACUCCUUCAGAGUCCUCCUGGAGCUCCUUUGGUUUCUUUAUUGCUUUUAUCAGUUUUAUAUCUAUUCUUUCUAUGAGUUUCUGUGACAACUUCAUGCUUAACUUCAUGCUUGAAUAGAUCCACCUGCUAGGUUUAGGGUUCAAAUAGGUUAUGAGGGAUUAGCCCCAAAUAUAGAAUUGCUAGGUUGUGAUAUUCGUCAAUAGGAUGUUCUUACUGCUUGUGUUCUAGAGUCGCGAACUAGAACCCUGAUCUUAGAAUCAUUAGGCACAAGCGAUAACUUGGUCUUUUCUCUGAAUAGAUCCUCAUUGAACUAGGAUUGCUAGAAACAAGUGAUAACUAAUCUACGAACCCUAGUGAGUACUUUAUCAAACCGCGCCCAAAGCUUGCUUGAAGUCUGUCGAUCAAUAUUCUAAUAGAAUAAUCGAUCGACGUCGUGAAAGGUGUAUCGAUCAAUAUUCCUCUAGAAUCAUCGAUCGACACUUUCUAAUUGAUCGAUAAACGAUAGUUGAGAUCAUUAGAUUUAGUCAAUAGACGAAUCUAGAAGCGAGAGCUGAUCGAUUUGUGUUUAAUUGUUGAGCUCUUUAAUAUCUUACAUACAACAAUUAGUCUCUAUAUCAUUAUAAUCCUGAUUACAUAAAUAGAAACCCUAGAUCUAGUAACCAUCCUUCCAUCAAACCUCAAUCAAUCAGCCGAGCAACUGCCUUGCUCACCAUUGCAAUUUACUAUAUUUACUGCAUUAAUAAACUAUUAGCCUAGCUUAAUCCUAUAACUAUUAGAUCUUUUGUGUGCCCUAGCUAUCUGUAGAUUCGAUCCCUAAGUACUACAACUCGACCUCUUAUUUGAGAGAGUAUAAAUCACUCUUUAGGGUGAAUUGUGUGAUAUAAGGAGUGAUAUCAAUUGGUGUUAGAUCUUGAUAAAAUGAGGAAGUAUCCGUGGGGUCUUCAUGCUUACGAUCUACUACUAGAGUCCAUACAGAAAGCAAGGUACAAGUUGAAGAAUAACAUUUAUGUAUUGGAUGGAUUCUCCUAUGCCCUACAGAUUUGGCUUAUGGAGGCGAUCUCGGGCAUUGGAACUUUGUUGGGUCGAAAGUACAACGAAGGGAUAACCAGUGUGAGAUGUCAGAAUUGGUAUGGAAAUGGAAAUAUUUCUUAUCAUGAUAUCACUGUUCUAGAGGCUGCACUUGGAAAGGUGAACACAAACAUCAAAUUUAUUUACUUGUUUAUAUUAUAAAUACUUAUGUUCUUUGCUUUUCUAUUUACAGAAAGCGGUCGUGUUUCCAUUCAUUUCUGAUACAGGAAACAAUGAUGUCAUUGCUAAUGUGAUCUUCAAAAGGAAGAAGGAGAAGAAAGAUGAACGAGUUGACAAAAUUAUUUCCUUAAUCAGUGCAAAAUUUGAGUGGAGCAAAUUCGUCUGGGAAGUCGAGGAAGAUAUAUUGACUCAAGAUCAGCUAGAUGAGAAAGAUGAUGUUGCUGUGGAAGAUGAAGUAGAAAUAAUUGAAGAUGAAGAACCGAUUGAGCCUGUAGUUAAAAGAAGGGUCAAGAGUAAGGCAAAGGAUCCCGGUUCUGAAUCUAGGAAGAGACAACUACUUUGCCAACAUGCGGCAGGACAGAACACAUGUCUCCAUGAUGAAAUAAAGACCUUUAUUAUGAGAUUGUUUAACACUUCCUUCAACUCAAUGAAAGAAGAGGUCAAAAGCAUGUAGAUCAUGGCUUUGACAAGCUUGACAGUGAGAUUGCAAAACUCAAGCAAACAGUGACAUCAACUAUAAUUUCAAGAAACGAUGUCCUUGCAUCCGAGAUACCCCAGCCUUCGACAAUACCUAGCCCUCGUCCUAAAAGAAAGGUAAACAGGAAAUGAAGUUUUGUUUGUAAUAUUUUGUAACAUGUUGUAAUCUUUUAGCUAAGAUGUUUCUGUAUCAAACACAAGCCUGUAAUAUUUUGUGCCACUUUUGAAUGUAUGAUAUUCCUGGUCGUGUAUUAAUGUUGUUUUGGGUUGUGUUAUUAGCAGGAAGCACUACAAAAAAAAAGACUGAAUUAUACCAAUUAAUUUGAAUCACAAAAAUAAGUGAUAUUAUUUUAAAUUACUUAUUUCUAAAUGAAACAAAUAUUCAUUAUUUGGAAUCAAUUAUAGUAAUGAUGGUAUUAUUAACUAAUAUAACAUCAACUCAUCUAAACUGAUAUAUUUUAUAUUAAUUUGUAUCACUUCGCUAAAAUUGAUAUUAUUUUUUGACAUUUACAUCGAUUAAAUAAAUUAUGCAUAUAUUAUUUUUAGUUAACAUUAUUUAUUAAAAUGAUACAAUAUUUACAUCAAUAAAAACUGAUGUUAACAAAAAAUAUCUAACUGUAUUUCAUUUAAAAUCAGUUUAAUAAAGUGAUUUUAUUUUAUGUUAGUCUACAUCAUUUACAUCAUUUAAUCUAUUAUAAAUUAAUUUAUAUCAAUAAAAAUUAGCCUAAAACUUCAAAGAAAUCAAGAUCAGGAGGAGUGGUUACGAUUUUUUGGGUUUGAUAUUGUUGUGGCUUUAAGUUAAUUGCAUAUUUUCUUCCAUAACUGUCUCAUCUCAACAAAGCAUACCUUUCCCCCUCUCUCUCUCUCUCUCUCGAUGAUUAUUGUAUCAUCACAACUAAUUCCAAUCCUAAAUGAUCCAUUAAGAUAGCAAUAUUUGUUUUUGCUAAUUCCAAUCAGAUUGCAGCAUAGACACACACUCCAUUCUCGAUGUCAUAUACUUCAGGUCUUCGUUGUCGUCGUCUUUCCGUCACUGGACACAUAGCUUCUGCCACCUAAUAUGCUAUGAAACUCCAGAUUGGACCUUCUAUGUUUACAUGUGAGAUGUCAGCAUAUAUAGUGGGACCUACGGAGGGUUAAAGAACUAUGAAAUUGAUGCCAUGUUAUUUUUAUUCCGGGAGAGGGCAACAUUGCGACGAUGGAAGGCAAACAUGGUCGCUUUCAUGAGCUGCGUAUUCAGUAACCAAAUCAAGUGUUCAUACUCCACUUUUGUAAAAGACAUGAAAAAGUUUAAAGUAGAAGUAUUUCUACACGACUACGGGACAUGUCAACUUCCUCCUCAUGGAAGAACAAGACUAGUGUGGGAUGUCGACGUCAGCCGUAUGUAUGUUCAUGUUUUUGUCCACAGUUAGGUAAGUAGCUAAACUCGAGAUUGACUAGGGUUAGAUCGAUUCCAAAGCCUCACAACCAUCAACUUUAGCUUCUCAAAGGUUGAACUGCCAUCCAAAUUCAGUAACCUACCUCUUUUUUCUUCAGCAAGAAAAAUCCAUCCAUUUCUAACCGACGAGUUCCACAAACCACAAGAAGAAUAGAUAUGCAUCCUAGUAAAACCUAGAUUGACAAAAGAAAGAGGAGAAGAAACAAAGAAGAGAUUGUUGAGGAAGACGACUUCCUUUUACGAUUUGCAGUCAAAUUUUGGUAAAAAAAGUUAAAAAGUUAAAAAAGUAAAGAAAAUACUUUCAAGAUCUUCAAAAUAUUUACUAACCGUUUUUAGGCUUAAUUUUUGGAAUUUUGAAACAAAACAUGCAGAAAUGAGAUUCUACCGGUGAAAUGUAUAUAGAUGACAUGGUAGAGCCAACGUUCUGCUGAUAGUGAAAGAGAUAAUAGUAGAGUGUAGACAUUACCAAUAGUGGAGGAAAGAAUAAAGUGAAGACGGCAUGAUCUGCCAUCUUUUAGAAAAUAGAACAAAUAUUGGAUUGUAUUUUCUACGGAGGUAGAUGGACGCAAAUUUGGCAUACUACGUUUUCUAACUUCAGUAUAGUUUAGCUUUUUUAGCAGAUUCUACCAUUUAUUUUACCGUAGAUGGAAGAUCAUAUCUUCUACCAUUUUUAGAGCAUUACUGAAAUUGCAAAACCAAGCAAAACUUUUCACCAUUAUAUUUUUCAUAAGUGCUCAUGUAUGUUAAGAUCAUGUUUUGUAUUUUUCUUUAUUUUUUUGGCUUCUCAAUCAACUGAUAUGAAUUUUUGCAAAGUGUAAUGGUAGUCAUAGUCAAAAACUGCAAAAAGUUGGUUUUGUUCUAAGGAAGUAGCUAUAAGUUGUUUAUCCUAGUAGCUAUAAGUUGUUUCAAAUUGGUAUCUCGAAAAUACCAGAGAAGACUUCCCGAUAAGUCUUCUAGGAUAAACAUGUUAGUUUCACAAUUAACUGAAUUGUGAUGAAAUAGGUUUUUAGGGAUGAUGAUAUCUAUGUAAGUCUGAAUGUUUAUCCUAGUAGCUAUAAGUUGUUUCAAAUUAUCUAUAAGUUGUUUCAAAUUAGCAAAUUUUCUAUUUUCUUCAUUUGGUAACUCAAAGUCAAACUGUAAAAAAGUUAAAAAACUAACAUGUUUAUCCUAGUAGCUAUAAGUUGUUUCAAAUUAGCAAAUUUUCUAUUUUCUUCAUUUGGUAACUUCUGCUUUCUUAAAGCUCUUAAUUUUUUUCCCAAACUAAAACUAUCCAACCUCUCUCCAAUCUCUUAAAACUUGAAAACACCAAACUUUAUAUCAAUUUAUCAUUUUUUGUCAAAUGUCUUUCUCACUAAUUCAUUUUCUUUUGCAGGUUUUUUAUUACAUAGUUCUUAUCUUCUACUCCUUUAAAGGUAUAUCUAAAUUCUUGGAUAUGUUUUUUCAUAGGUUCUUUAAAGGUAGUUCUAUCUCAUCUUCCACUCAUUUUCUCUGUUUUGAAGCCAUUAAAGGUUUUUGGAUUUGCAGGUUUUUCAGAUCUAAAUCAGACUUUUGAAGACUUCUUAGAAGUCUUCUGGAAGUCUUCUAACAUAUAAUGCGCUAGAAGACAAGGAAGUCUUCUGACAGCGUUUUCUCCAAUGUCAAGUGGACUCCAAGCUUGUUUUUGUGGAUGAAUGAUCUAUAAUACUUUUGUGUAUGGUAUGUUUUGUGAUUCGUAUGUGUUCUCUUUUAGUUGUGAAUUCUUUUGUAAAUUUGAAGAGAUAUUAAUGAAUUUUUUUUUGGUAAAUAUGUUAAUGUCUAAAAUAUUAUCUUGCCAAAAGUACUUGACAUUAUUAAAGUUAUUGAUACAACUUCAAUAGCAAAACACAAUAUCACAAAAAAAUUGUCAAAAUUACUACAACUAAGAGAGAUGACAUCUCAAGAAAACUUAGUCAAAUUCACAAGAAUCAAACAUUGCAUAAGCUCAAACAUAUAACACUUUCACAAGAAUCAAACAUUGCAUAAGUUCAAACAUAUAACACUUUCACGAGAAGACUUCUUAGAAGACUUCUCGGAAAACAU